GAUGAACGCGGCGGCGUGCUUAACACAUGCAAGUCGAACGAGAGAUACAGGAGGAAGUUUUCGGACGGAAUCCGGUAGAUCGAGUGGCGGACGGGUGAGUAACGCGUGGGGAACCUGCCUCAUACAGGGGGAUAACAGUUGGAAACGACUGUUAAUACCGCAUAAGACCACAGAGUCGCAUGACUCAGGGGUAAAAACUCCGGUGGUAUGAGAUGGACCCGCGUUCGAUUAGCCAGUUGGCGGGGUAACGGCCCACCAAAGCGACGAUCGAUAGCCGAUUUGAGAGAAUGACCGGCCACAUUGGGACUGAGACACGGCCCAAACUCCUACGGGAGGCAGCAGUGGGGAAUAUUGCACAAUGGGGGGAACCCUGAUGCAGCGACGCCGCGUGAGUGAAGAAGUAUUUCGGUAUGUAAAGCUCUAUCAGCAGGGAAGAAGAUGACGGACCUGA
Molecule: ribosomal RNA, 451 nt
Filed under: Lachnospiraceae bacterium oral taxon A17
Lineage: Bacteria; Bacillati; Bacillota; Clostridia; Lachnospirales; Lachnospiraceae
Description: bacterial SSU rRNA
Rfam family: Bacterial small subunit ribosomal RNA
Source: RNAcentral